GUCUUAUUGAGUAUAAUUUUAAGUCUAAUCUGCCCAGUGAUUUAUUAAAUGGCUGCAGUAUUUUAACUGUACAAAGGUAGCAUAAUAAUUAGUUUCUUAAUUAGAAACUGGAAUGAAAGAUUGAACGAGACAAUAACUGUCUUAAUUUUAAUUUAAGAAUUUUAUUUUUAAGUUAAAAAGCUUAAAUUUUUUUAAAAGACGAGAAGACCCUAUAGAAUUUUAUAUUAUUAUUAUAUUUAAAUUUUAGUAUAUAAAUUUUAAAUUUUUUUAAAGGUAUUUAGUUGGGGUGAUUGGAAAAUUUAUUUAACUUUUUUUAUUGUAAGUCAUUUAUUUAUGUUUUUUUGAUCCAAAAUUUUUGAUUAUAAGAUUAAAUUACCUUAGGGAUAACAGCGUAAUUUUUUUAGAGAGUUCUUAUCGAUAAAAGAGAUUGCGACCUCGAUGUUGGAUUAAAGUUAAUUUUUAAUGUAGAAGUUAAGAUAUUGGGUCUGUUCGACCUUUAAAACUUUACAUGAUCUGAGUUCAAACCGGCGUGAGCCAGGUUGGAUUCUAUCUUUAAUAAGUUUUAAUAUUUUAGUACGAAAGGACCAGAUAUAAUUUAUAGUAAAUUUUAUAGAAUAAUA
This 620-nucleotide ribosomal RNA is filed under the name Quaestus dilatatus. Its description in RNAcentral is "partial 16S ribosomal RNA". The stretch from base 383 to 541 matches the Rfam family "Bacterial large subunit ribosomal RNA", at positions 2473 to 2632 of the family's 2925-position model. Lineage: Eukaryota; Metazoa; Arthropoda; Insecta; Coleoptera; Leiodidae. The record is from RNAcentral.